UACGUAGGGGGCAAGCGUUGUCCGGAUUUAUUGGGCGUAAAGAGCUCGUAGGCGGCUGUCCACGUCGGGUGUGAAAGCUCAGAGCUCAACUCUGAGACGCCAUUCGAUACGGGACGGCUAGAGGCAGGUAGGGGAGAUUGGAAUUCCUGGUGUAGCGGUGAAAUGCGCAGAUAUCAGGAGGAACACCGGUGGCGAAGGCGGAUCUCUGGGCCUUGCCUGACGCUGAGGAGCGAAAGCUGGGGGAGCGAACAGG
RNAcentral lists this ribosomal RNA (253 nucleotides) under uncultured bacterium. RNAcentral's name for it is "partial 16S ribosomal RNA". It matches the Rfam family "Bacterial small subunit ribosomal RNA", at positions 524 to 776 of the family's 1533-position model. The record is from RNAcentral.